AGCUCACCAAGGCGACGAUCGGUAGCUGGUCUGAGAGGAUGAUCAGCCACACUGGGAUUGAGAACGGCCCAGACUCCUACGGGGGGCAGCAGUGAGGAAUUUUCGUCAAUGGGGGAAACCCUGAACGAGCAACGCCGCGUGCAGGAAGAAGGUUUUCGGAUCGUAAACUGCUUUUCUCUGGGACGAGAACGGACGGUACCAGAGGAAUCAGCCCCGGCUAACUACGUGCCAGCAGCCGCGGUAAUACGUAGGGGGCAAGCGUUGUCCGGAUUUAUUGGGCGUAAAGCGCACGCAGGCGGUCUGCCAAGUUCGGAGUGACAGUUUCCGGCUUAACCGGAAAAGGUCUUCGAAAACUGGUGGACUUGAGGACUUGAGGGGGAGACGGAAUUCCGGGUGGAGCGGUGAAAUGCGUAGAGAUCCGGAGGAACACCGAAAGCGAAGGCAGUCUCCUGGCAAGUUUCUGACGCUCAGGUGCGAAAGCUAGGGGAGCGAACAGGAUUAGAUACCCUGGUAGUCCUAGCCGUAAACGAUGACCACUAGGCGUAGGAGGUAUCGACCCCUUCUGUGCCGCAGCUUACGCACUAAGUGGUCCGCCUGGGGAGUACGGUCGCAAGAUUA
RNAcentral lists this ribosomal RNA (618 nucleotides) under uncultured bacterium. RNAcentral's name for it is "bacterial SSU rRNA". It matches the Rfam family "Bacterial small subunit ribosomal RNA", at positions 262 to 896 of the family's 1533-position model. The record is from RNAcentral.